CACAAAACUCACCUCGAAACUUUGUUGUUGGGUAUUCAGAAGUAGAACUAGUUGGAACCUUUAAGCAAUGGGCCACGCUGCAGAGAGCCCCGUCAGCAGAACGACCCUUGCAAGAUGGGGCCCCUUGGUCAUGAACUUCUCAGCCUCCGGAACUGUUCUUAAUUGCUGUUCUGAUCAUCUGAGGAUAUCGAACUCUCUUGCUUCUUCACUCUUCCAAAGCAG
Molecule: long non-coding RNA, 222 nt
Organism: Ictidomys tridecemlineatus (thirteen-lined ground squirrel)
Lineage: Eukaryota; Metazoa; Chordata; Mammalia; Rodentia; Sciuridae
Source: RefSeq, a predicted model, not a curated record